AUUUUAUUUUCCGGCGUCUCCUAAAACCCUAUAAAUCCUCUCCGUAGAAGAAAACGACGACGCUCGAAUCUCGCAAUGGCUUCCGCUUGCAACAGAUUCAUGAACAGAUCCUCCGUCUCGUCUCUCAGAUCCGCCGUCAGAUCCGCGCUUCACAAAUCCCCAAUCGGCACCGGAACUCCGCCGAGUGCUUCCUCCGCCGGGUUUCGGAUUCCGUCUAAACCGGCAGCUUCUCCCCGAUUCUCCUUCUCCAGGUGUCCAUCAGAGCUUGGUUGUGUUCAGUCGCUGUUGCCGCUUCACAGCACGGUGGCGGCUGCUAGGCUGACGUCGUGCCUUAGCGUAACAUCAAGAAGCAGCCGAGCUCUCUCUCAGGGCACAUAAUUUCACCGUUACCAUUGUGGGAUCGAUCCUUGCAUCUUUAUCAAAUGGAAUCGAUGACACGUGAGACGUAUUUGCAGUUGUUUUUAAAGAGAUGGGCCUUUCAGUCCCAAGGUGACCACCUGCUACAUUCAUGAAGAUUAUUACUAUCAGGGCCUCAGAGGAGACAAGAAGUUUUUUUUUUUUUUUUUUUUUGCGACACCAAACGCUUGUUCAUGAAGAAAACUGUGUAAUACUAUUUCGAGAUCUUUACACAAUUCAUGAAGAAAACUGUGUAAUACUAUUUCGAGAUUUUUACUUU
This is an RNA transcript of Brassica napus (rape), 676 nucleotides long. It is a transcript of the gene named protein NONRESPONDING TO OXYLIPINS 2, mitochondrial, with no coding region annotated. The transcript is spliced from 5 exons. Lineage: Eukaryota; Viridiplantae; Streptophyta; Magnoliopsida; Brassicales; Brassicaceae. The record is from RefSeq and is a predicted model, not a curated record.